UUUCUCUUCUAGGGAGGGUAAGGUAUGUGGAUGGGUGAAGGGGGAGAUACAUAAUACCCAGCAAGAAUUAAGUUACAGAUGUAAUUGGCCUUCAAGAUGUAUCUCUCCCCAUCUCCUACCUCAUAGCCAAAAACAAUAUUUAAAAAGAAAAACCAGUUUAACAAAGCCUCCAUCAAGCAAGAGCAACAGUUAAAGCAAUGUUCCAUUUUCUUAGCACCCCACUUCUACAAAGAAGUUCAUGCUUAUAUAUCGCUUAAAACUGAGCAUUAAACCAGAAUCUUCAAUGAGAUAAUGAAUGUAAACCUUUUGCAAAUCUUAAAGUGCUACAUGAAAUAUCAGUUAUUAUUGUUAGACUUCAGUCACCGUAUGACUUCAUUCCACAAUUGAAGCUUCUACUGCAUUCCUGCUGAACUCAAGCAAUGUUUAUAGAGCAAUUAAGGGGUGUAUUGGUAAAUAUUUAACAACCAGGCUUCUUUUUGGGGGGGGGGGUGGAAAGUAUGUAUAGAUCUUUCAAGUUUAAUUUACAUUAAUGCUUUCUUUAGAUAAUUAAUACAACAAUAAAUCAAGUCCUAAUUUAUAGCGUUGUGAAUUU
RNAcentral lists this long non-coding RNA (592 nucleotides) under Monodelphis domestica (gray short-tailed opossum). RNAcentral's name for it is "lncRNA (ENSMODG00000049623.1)". The record is from RNAcentral. Lineage: Eukaryota; Metazoa; Chordata; Mammalia; Didelphimorphia; Didelphidae.